GGGGUAUUAGCUCAGUUGGUUUAGAGCGCUGCCUUGACAGGGCAGAGGUCACUGGUUCGAAUCCGGUAUGCCCCAC
RNAcentral lists this transfer RNA (76 nucleotides) under Roseivirga thermotolerans. Its description in RNAcentral is "tRNA-Val". It matches the Rfam family "tRNA". From Rfam's summary of the family: Transfer RNA (tRNA) molecules are approximately 80 nucleotides in length. Their secondary structure includes four short double-helical elements and three loops (D, anti-codon, and T loops). The record is from RNAcentral. Lineage: Bacteria; Pseudomonadati; Bacteroidota; Cytophagia; Cytophagales; Roseivirgaceae.